UGUGGACAGUGAUGGACCGAC
RNAcentral lists this non-coding RNA (21 nucleotides) under Arabidopsis thaliana (thale cress). Lineage: Eukaryota; Viridiplantae; Streptophyta; Magnoliopsida; Brassicales; Brassicaceae. The record is from RNAcentral.